UGGUGAACUGAAAUAUCUAAGUAACCAGAGGAAAAGAAAUCAACCGAGAUUCCGUAAGUAGCGACGAGCGAACGCGGACUAGCCCUUAAGCUGAUUUGGUUCUAGGAAAAUGCUCUGGAAAGAGCAGCCAUAGAAGGUGAUAGCCCUGUAUCUGAAAGGGCCAUUUCAGUGAAGACGAGUAGGGCGGGGCACGUGAAACCCUGUCUGAACAUGGGGGGACCAUCCUCCAAGGCUAAAUACUACUGACCGACCGAUAGUGAACCAGUACCGUGAGGGAAAGGCGAAAAGAACCCCGGAGAGGGGAGUGAAAUAGAUCCUGAAACCGUGUGCGUACAAGCAGUAGGAGCUCCGCAAGGAGUGACUGCGUACCUUUUGUAUAAUGGGUCAGCGACUUACUGUUCGUGGCAAGCUUAACCGUAUAGGGGAGGCGAAGGGAAACCGAGUCUGAUAAGGGCGCAUAGUCGCGGGCAGUAGACCCGAAACCGGGUGAUCUAGUCAUGCCCAGGGUGAAGGUGCGGUAACACGCACUGGAGGCCCGAACCCACUCCUGUUGCAAAGGUAGGGGAUGAGGUGUGAUUAGGAGUGAAAAGCUAAUCGAACCCGGAGAUAGCUGGUUCUCCUCGAAAGCUAUUUAGGUAGCGCCUCAUAUGUAUCCUCUCGGGGGUAGAGCACUGUUAUGGCUAGGGGGUCAUCGCGACUUACCAAACCAUUGCAAACUCCGAAUACCGAGACGGACUGUAUGGGAGACACACGGCGGGUGCUAACGUCCGUCGUGAAAAGGGAAACAACCCAGACCCACAGCUAAGGUCCCAAAUUCACUGCUAAGUGGAAAACCAUGUGGAAAGGCACAGACAGCCAGGAGGUUGGCUUAGAAGCAGCCACCCUUUAAAGAAAGCGUAAUAGCUCACUGGUCGAGUCGGUCUGCGGGGAAGAUUUAACGGGGCUAAGCAGUGAACCGAAGCUUGGGGUGCAUAACUUUGUUAUGCGCGGUAGAGGAGCGUUCCGUAAGCCGUUGAAGGUGGAUUGAGAAGUCUGCUGGAGGUAUCGGAAGUGCGAAUGCUGACAUGAGUAACGAUAAUGCGGGUGAAAAACCCGCACGCCGAAAGCCCAAGGUUUCCUUGCGCAACGUUAAUCGGCGCAGGGUGAGUCGGCCCCUAAGGCGAGGACGAAAGUCGUAGUCGAUGGGAAGCAGGUUAAUAUUCCUGCACCUCGCGUAAGUGCGAUGGAGGGACGGAGAAGGUUAGGUGUACCAGGCGUUGGUUGUCCUGGGGAAAGGCGGUAGGUUUGGAUCUUUGGCAAAUCCGGGAUCCUUUAAGACCGAGCACCGAGACGAGCCUUUAAGGCGAAGUCACUGAUACCACGCUUCCAGGAAAAGCUCCUAAGCUUCAGCUUACGCAGACCGUACCGUAAACCGACACAGGUGGGUAGGAUGAGAAUUCUCAGGCGCUUGAGAGAACUCGGGUGAAGGAACUAGGCAACAUGGCACCGUAACUUCGGGAGAAGGUGCACCCUUUUUGGUGGCUCAUGCGAGCUAUAGCUGAAGAGGGUCGCAGUAACCAGGCCGCUGCGACUGUUUAUCAAAAACACAGCACUCUGCAAACACGAAAGUGGACGUAUAGGGUGUGACGCCUGCCCGGUGCUGGAAGGUUAAUUGAUGGGGUCAGCCGCAAGGCGAAGCUCUUGAUCGAAGCCCCAGUAAACGGCGGCCGUAACUAUAACGGUCCUAAGGUAGCGAAAUUCCUUGUCGGGUAAGUUCCGACCUGCACGAAUGGCGUAACGACAGCGGCGCUGUCUCCACCCGAGACUCAGUGAAAUUGAAAUCGCUGUGAAGAUGCAGCGUUCCCGUGGCAAGACGGAAAGACCCCGUGAACCUUUACUAUAGCUUUACACUGAACGUUGAGUUCGUCUGUGUAGGAUAGGUGGGAGGCUAUGAAACUGUGGCGCUAGCUGCAGUGGAGCCAUCCUUGAAAUACCACCCUGUCGUGCUUGACGUUCUAACCUAGGUCCAUAAUCUGGA
This 2017-nucleotide ribosomal RNA is filed under the name bioreactor metagenome. RNAcentral's name for it is "bacterial LSU rRNA". It matches the Rfam family "Bacterial large subunit ribosomal RNA", at positions 186 to 2244 of the family's 2925-position model. The record is from RNAcentral.